GAUGAACGCUGGCGGCGUGCCUAAUACAUGCAAGUCGAGCGAACGGACGAGAAGCUUGCUUCUCUGAUGUUAGCGGCGGACGGGUGAGUAACACGUGGAUAACCUACCUAUAAGACUGGGAUAACUUCGGGAAACCGGAGCUAAUACCGGAUAAUAUUUUGAACCGCAUGGUUCAAAAGUGAAAGACGGUCUUGCUGUCACUUAUAGAUGGAUCCGCGCUGCAUUAGCUAGUUGGUAAGGUAACGGCUUACCAAGGCAACGAUGCAUAGCCGACCUGAGAGGGUGAUCGGCCACACCGGAACUGAGACGCGGUCCAGACUCCUACGGGAGGCAGCAGUAGGGAAUCUUCCGCAAUGGGCGAAAGCCUGACGGAGCAACGCCGCGUGAGUGAUGAAGGUCUUCGGAUCGUAAAACUCUGUUAUUAGGGAAGAACAUAUGUGUAAGUAACUGUGCACAUCUUGACGGUACCUAAUCAGAAAGCCACGGCUAACUACGUG
RNAcentral lists this ribosomal RNA (497 nucleotides) under uncultured bacterium. RNAcentral's name for it is "partial 16S ribosomal RNA". It matches the Rfam family "Bacterial small subunit ribosomal RNA", at positions 28 to 507 of the family's 1533-position model. The record is from RNAcentral.